Molecule: transfer RNA, 73 nt
Filed under: Candidatus Omnitrophota bacterium
Lineage: Bacteria; Pseudomonadati; Candidatus Omnitrophota
Description: tRNA-Glu
Rfam family: tRNA
About the family: Transfer RNA (tRNA) molecules are approximately 80 nucleotides in length.
Source: RNAcentral
GGCGCGGUGCUGUGUUGGUUUGGCACUCGGACUUUCAAUCCGGGCUACGCGGGUUCAAUUCCCGUUCGCGCUA